UACGUAGGGCGCAAGCGUUAUCCGGAAUUAUUGGGCGUAAAGAGCUCGUAGGCGGUUUGUCGCGUCUGCCGUGAAAGUCCGGGGCUCAACUCCGGAUCUGCGGUGGGUACGGGCAGACUAGAGUGAUGUAGGGGAGACUGGAAUUCCUGGUGUAGCGGUGAAAUGCGCAGAUAUCAGGAGGAACACCGAUGGCGAAGGCAGGUCUCUGGGCCGAUAUUGACGCUGAGGCACGAAAGCGUGGGGAGCAAACAGG
RNAcentral lists this ribosomal RNA (253 nucleotides) under uncultured bacterium. RNAcentral's name for it is "partial 16S ribosomal RNA". It matches the Rfam family "Bacterial small subunit ribosomal RNA", at positions 524 to 776 of the family's 1533-position model. The record is from RNAcentral.